Molecule: ribosomal RNA, 253 nt
Filed under: uncultured prokaryote
Description: partial 16S ribosomal RNA
Rfam family: Bacterial small subunit ribosomal RNA
Source: RNAcentral
UACGUAGGGGGCGAGCGUUGUUCGGAAUUACUGGGCGUAAAGGGCGUGUAGGCGGUGCGAUAAGUUGGGCGUGAAAUCCCCGGGCUUAACCCGGGGCGGUCGUUCAAGACUGUCGUGCUAGAGUGCAGGAGAGGGAAGUGGAAUUCCCGGUGUAGCGGUGAAAUGCGUAGAUAUCUGGAGGAACACCGGUGGCGAAGGCGGCGUCCUGGACCAACACUGACACUGAUGAGCGAAAGCCAGGGGAGCAAACGGG